AAAGCCAGAAAGGGCCUACAUAGACAGUUUAAACUUAGAGAGGCAAAGAGACACCAUAGGAAUUUUAGCAGGCAAGUUUCGCUAGAGACAGGCUUUAAUGCUCUCAAUAGAGAAUGUAAGGCUAAAUAUGAGACGAGGGCUCUUCCAAGAAGUGGACGUAGUUUUGGAGGAUUUGAUUCAAUUGAUAGGAUUAACAUUGGAGAAACAAGGAAAGGAGAUUUUAGCAUCUUCAAGACCAAAGCGACUCUGAGUAAGCAGAAUUCUUUGAUGCCCGGAAGAAAGGAGAAAGAUAUCGAGUCUCAGAGACUUGAUGGUUCUAAUGGGCAUGAUGACUCUGUAAAUGAAGGAGUUCCUGCUGGGAGAUACUUUGCUGCUCUUAGAGGACCAGAGCUUGACCAGAUCAAGGAUCAUGAAGACAUUCUCCUUCCAAAAGAUGAGAAAUGGCCUUUUCUUCUUCGAUUCCCAAUCGGUUGCUUUGGUAUUUGUCUUGGCCUAAGUAGCCAAGCUGUCUUAUGGCGUGCCCUUGCAACAAGCCCUGCUACUAAAUUUCUCCACAUUACACCAUUCAUCAACCUUGCUCUCUGGCUCUUAGCUGUUGCUGUCCUAUUCUCAAUUUCCUUCACCUACAUCCUCAAAUGCAUGUUCUAUUUUGAAGCUGUCAGAAGAGAGUAUUUUCACCCAGUUCGUGUCAACUUCUUCUUUGCCCCGUGGGUUGUGUGCAUGUUCCUGGCUAUCAGUGCACCUCCUAUGCUAGCUCCUGAAAAUUUGCACCCUGCCCUUUGGUGCACCUUCAUGGGACCAUAUUUCCUCCUCGAGCUCAAGAUUUAUGGCCAAUGGCUUUCCGGUGGAAAGAGACGUCUUUGCAAGGUAGCUAAUCCAUCUUCCCAUCUUUCUGUGGUUGGAAAUUUUGUUGGGGCAAUUUUAGCUGCUAAAGUAGGAUGGAUUGAAGCGGCUAAGUUCUUGUGGGCAAUUGGCUUUGCACAUUAUCUUGUGGUGUUUGUGACUUUGUAUCAGAGAUUGCCCACAAGCGAAGCAUUGCCUAAAGAGCUGCAUCCUGUGUAUUCUAUGUUCAUUGCAGCCCCAUCAGCAGCAAGUAUUGCCUGGGAAUCUAUUUAUGGUGAGUUUGAUGGAUUGUCAAGGACUUGCUACUUCAUUGCAUUGUUUCUCUAUAUUUCCCUGGUUGUGCGUAUCAACUUCUUCACAGGAUUCAGGUUCUCGGUGGCAUGGUGGUCUUACACAUUCCCCAUGACAACAGUAUCAGUUGCAACAAUCAAGUACGCAGAGCAGGUUCCUGCAGUUCUAAGCAAGGUGCUUGCACUUUCGCUUUCUUUCAUGUCAUCAACAAUGGUGUCUCUACUGUUUGUGUCGACCCUUCUCCAUGCCUUCUUUUGGCGCACAUUGUUCCCCAAUGACCUUGCCAUUGCCAUAACAAAGAAAAGACUCGUCAAGGAGAGGAAACCCUUGAAGAAAGUUUACGAUAUAAGGCGUUGGACAAGGCAAGCUCCUAACAAGCACAAUCAAGUAAACAAGAACAAUCAAGUAAACAAGAAUUUUUGUGGAGAGAACGAUGGGUUACAGACCCCACAGUAAUCUCAUGAUAUGGAAUUAACUCUAUCGCAUAGCAAUAGCAUGUACUUGUAAUUGUAAUCAAGAAAUGAUGCAACGAGAAUACGUUAUAUACCAUAACUAUGAAAACUAUAGAAAUUUUAUAUUAUUUUGUUUGACAAUAUGAUAUUCCAUAUUUAUCCUCUAUCACAUUCUGUUCUUCUCGCCGAAGGUCCAAG
RNAcentral lists this unclassified non-coding RNA (1784 nucleotides) under Hevea brasiliensis (rubber tree). The record is from RNAcentral. Lineage: Eukaryota; Viridiplantae; Streptophyta; Magnoliopsida; Malpighiales; Euphorbiaceae.